Long non-coding RNA from Mytilus californianus (California mussel), 345 nucleotides. RefSeq lists it as uncharacterized. NCBI's taxonomy places the organism in Eukaryota, Metazoa, Mollusca, Bivalvia, Mytilida, Mytilidae. The transcript is spliced from 3 exons. The record is from RefSeq and is a predicted model, not a curated record.
GUUAAGACUUCAACAAUAGACAGGUGUCUACACAAAAAGUUAAGACUUCAACAAUAGACAGUUGUCUACACAAAAAGUUAAGACUUCAACAAUAGACAGUUGUCUACACAAAAAGUUAAGACUUCAACAAUAGACAGUUGUCUACACAAAAAGUUAAGACUUCAACAAUAGACAGUUGUCUACACAAAAAGUUAAGACUUCAACAAUAGACAGUUGUCUACACAAAAAGUUAAGACUUCAACAAUAGACAGUUGUCUACACAAAAAGUUAAGACUUCAACAAUAGACAGGUGUCUACACAAAAAGUUAAGACUUCAACAAUAGACAGUUGUCUACACAAUAAGUU